CUUUAAUUAGAUCAUGCUCUCUAAGAGGUAGCAAUGGCUCUUUCUGAGUUUUGCUCAGUACCUGGAGCCUGCUUUAGAGGCUCACCAAAUUCCUCCUAGAGGAAACAAUGAAAUCUGCCAGGAGAGAAAGAGGAAACUCCUUCCUCUAUUUUCAAUCUGUGGGAAAUUCCCACCUCCUUUCCCUGAAAUCCUAAACCGACUUUUGCAGUUAGCCACUACUGGAUAUCGCAGCAAAGAUCUCCUGGAGCAGGAUCGCUUCCUCACUGUGGCCCCUCUGCAAACUUCACGCUCCUUACCUGCACUGACGCGAGAGCAACAGAGGAGUCAAUUGCCCCCAGCUCCUGACAGCAAGUAACAUUGAUUAGCCGGCUCCUGCAAAGGGCGAUGCGUUACCUGCAGUCAACAGCGGUUUGGAAACGAGGGGUCCCCCUUCUGACGGAUAAUCAGAAAGUCACAAGUAGCCUAACACUACAUCGAAAUGCCCACGUUGCUCCCUCACUUCAUCUCCUCACACAGGCAUUUUAUCAUCUCACAUCGUCACAAGAAAGGUCUAUACCAUCCAAUAUGGCAGCCACGACUCAUGUGUGCUAGUCCCAGUUGAGCAACUAUAACAAGCACAUCGGCUUCUGAAGACUUAAUACAAAAAAAAAAAAAAAAAGACAUGCAGUAUCUCAAUAAUAUUUUAUGUUGAUUACGUCUUGAAAUAGUACUGUUUUGGAUAGAUUUGAUUAAGUAAAGCAUACUGUUAAUUAACUUCACCUCUUUUUCCUUUUAAAGAUCUGGUAACUAGAAAGUCAUAAUACAUAGCUUGGAUGAUACUUUGAUUUGACGGUGCUGCUCAGGAUGACACAAUCAGGGAGGAAUGGGGAGGUCUGGCUUUUUCUCUCUUCAUCUGGAUCAACAGGUGUAGGAUGGCCCUACUCAGGGUUGAGCAAAACACAUCUAGGCCCCUGCUUUUGGGGGCCGCUCCCUCCCUCCCAGUCUGUGCGAGAGAUGAAUGCCAUUCUCCACAUUUGUUGCGUCUGUCUGGCUCUUGCUAAGCU
Molecule: long non-coding RNA, 1043 nt
Organism: Felis catus (domestic cat)
Lineage: Eukaryota; Metazoa; Chordata; Mammalia; Carnivora; Felidae
Exons: 4
Source: RefSeq, a predicted model, not a curated record